GGUAAGAUGGCUGAGUAAAGCAUUAGACUGUAAAUCUAACCACAGAGGUGUAAGACCUCUUCUUAUCA
This 68-nucleotide transfer RNA is filed under the name Akodon montensis. RNAcentral describes it as "tRNA-Tyr". It matches the Rfam family "tRNA". From Rfam's summary of the family: Transfer RNA (tRNA) molecules are approximately 80 nucleotides in length. Their secondary structure includes four short double-helical elements and three loops (D, anti-codon, and T loops). The record is from RNAcentral. Lineage: Eukaryota; Metazoa; Chordata; Mammalia; Rodentia; Cricetidae.